UGAGAGUUUGAUCCUGGCUCAGGAUGAACGCUGGCGGUCUGCUUAACACAUGCAAGUCGAACGCAACCUUCGGGUUGAGUGGCGGACGGGUGAGUAACGCGUGAGAAUCUGCCUUGGGGUCGGGGACAACCACUGGAAACGGUGGCUAAUACCGGAUACGCCUUCGGGUAAAAGAUUUAUUGCCCUAAGAGGAGCUCGCGUCUGAUUAGCUAGUUGGUGAGGUAAGAGCUCACCAAGGCAGCGAUCAGUAGCUGGUCUGAGAGGACGAUCAGCCACACUGGGACUGAGACACGGCCCAGACUCCUACGGGAGGCAGCAGUGGGGAAUUUUCCGCAAUGGGCGAAAGCCUGACGGAGCAAGACCGCGUGAGGGAGGAAGGCUCUUGGGUUGUAAACCUCUUUUCUCAGGGAAGAAGCUCUGACGGUACCUGAGGAAUCAGCCUCGGCUAACUCCGUGCCAGCAGCCGCGGUAAUACGGAGGAGGCAAGCGUUAUCCGGAAUUAUUGGGCGUAAAGCGUCCGCAGGUGGCGAUUCAAGUCUGCUGUCAAAGCACGGGGCUUAACUCCGUAAAGGCAGUGGAAACUGAAUAGCUAGAGUGCCGUAGGGGUAGAGGGAAUUCCCGGUGUAGCGGUGAAAUGCGUAGAGAUCGGGAAGAACAUCGGUGGCGAAAGCGCUCUACUGGACGGCAACUGACACUCAGGGACGAAAGCUAGGGGAGCGAAUGGGAUUAGAUACCCCAGUAGUCCUAGCUGUAAACGAUGGAUACUAGGUGUAGCUUGUAUCGACCCGAGCUGUGCCGAAGCUAACGCGU
RNAcentral lists this ribosomal RNA (810 nucleotides) under uncultured bacterium. RNAcentral describes it as "bacterial SSU rRNA". It matches the Rfam family "Bacterial small subunit ribosomal RNA", at positions 1 to 860 of the family's 1533-position model. The record is from RNAcentral.